AGCUUUGCUCAGUGGCAGUAUCGUAGCCAAUGAGGUUUAUCCGAGGCGCGAUUAUUGCUAAUUAAAGUAUGUCAGAUAAAAUUCCUGCAGUCAUGCCAUUAUAUAAGUAAAGAGAUAAAUGGAAUUAAAAUGCUUUA
Small nuclear RNA from Neogale vison (American mink), 137 nucleotides. Its record names the gene U4. It matches the Rfam family "U4 spliceosomal RNA". From Rfam's summary of the family: U4 small nuclear RNA (U4 snRNA) is a component of the major U2-dependent spliceosome. The structure of U4 snRNA from yeast and human has been reported. The record is from Ensembl. NCBI's taxonomy places the organism in Eukaryota, Metazoa, Chordata, Mammalia, Carnivora, Mustelidae.